UAGUGAUUGGCGGACGGGUGAGUAAUAUAUAGUUAACCUGCCCUCGAGAAAGGAAUAACAGUUGGAAACGACUGCUAAUGCCCUAUAUGCCUUUAAGACAUAAGUCUGCAAGGGAAAUGCUUUUGUGCUCGAGGAUGGGACUGUACGGUAUCAGAUAGUUGGUGGGGUAAUGGCCUACCAAGUCAAUGACGCCUAACUGGUUUGAGAGGAUGAUCAGUCACACUGGAACUGAGACACGGUCCAGACUCCUACGGGAGGCAGCAGUGGGGAAUAUUGCACAAUGGAGGAAACUCUGAUGCAGCAACGCCGCGUGGAGGAUGACACAUUUCGGUGCGUAAACUCCUUUUAUAUAGGAAGAUAAUGACGGUACUAUAUGAAUAAGCGCCGGCUAACUCCGUGCCAGCAGCCGCGGUAAUACGGAGGGCGCAAGCGUUACUCGGAAUCACUGGGCGUAAAGAGCGUGUAGGCGGAUAGAUAAGUCAGAAGUGAAAUCCUAUGGCUCAACCAUAGAACUGCUUUUGAAACUGUUUAUCUAGAGUGUGGGAGAGGUAGAUGGAAUUUCUGGUGUAGGGGUAAAAUCCGUAGAGAUCAGAAGGAAUACCGAUUGCGAAGGCGAUCUACUGGAACAUAACUGACGCUGAGACGCGAAAGCGUGGGGAGCAAACAGGAUUAGAUACCCUGGUAGUCCACGCCCUAAACGAUGUACACUAGUUGUUGUGAGGCUUGACCUUGCAGUAAUGCAGUUAACACA
This 751-nucleotide ribosomal RNA is filed under the name uncultured Arcobacter sp. RNAcentral describes it as "bacterial SSU rRNA". It matches the Rfam family "Bacterial small subunit ribosomal RNA", at positions 89 to 859 of the family's 1533-position model. The record is from RNAcentral. Lineage: Bacteria; Pseudomonadati; Campylobacterota; Epsilonproteobacteria; Campylobacterales; Arcobacteraceae.